UACGUAGGCAGCGAGCGUUGUUCGGAGUUACUGGGCGUAAAGGGUGUGUAGGCGGUUGUUUAAGUUUGGUGUGAAAUCUCCCGGCUCAACUGGGAGGGUACGCCGAAUACUGAGCGACUAGAGUGCGGGAGAGGAAAGUGGAAUUCCUGGUGUAGCGGUGAAAUGCGUAGAUAUCAGGAGGAACACCGGUGGUGUAGACGGCUUUCUGGACCGUAACUGACGCUGAGACACGAAAGCGUGGGUAGCAAACAGG
RNAcentral lists this ribosomal RNA (253 nucleotides) under uncultured bacterium. RNAcentral describes it as "partial 16S ribosomal RNA". It matches the Rfam family "Bacterial small subunit ribosomal RNA", at positions 524 to 776 of the family's 1533-position model. The record is from RNAcentral.